RNAcentral lists this ribosomal RNA (253 nucleotides) under uncultured bacterium. RNAcentral's name for it is "partial 16S ribosomal RNA". It matches the Rfam family "Bacterial small subunit ribosomal RNA", at positions 524 to 776 of the family's 1533-position model. The record is from RNAcentral.
UACAGAGGUCUCAAGCGUUGUUCGGAUUCAUUGGGCGUAAAGGGUGCGUAGGCGGCGCGGUAAGUCGGGUGUGAAAUCUCGGAGCUUAACUCCGAAACUGCAUUCGAUACUGCCAUGCUUGAGGACUGGAGAGGAGACUGGAAUUUACGGUGUAGCGGUGAAAUGCGUAGAUAUCCGUAGGAACAUCCGAGGCGAAGGCGGCUCGCUGGAUCACAACUGACGCUGAGGGACGAAAGCUAGGGGAGCAAACAGG